GUGCCAGCAGCCGCGGUAAUACGUAGGGUGCAAGCGUUAAUCGGAAUUACUGGGCGUAAAGCGUGCGCAGGCGGUUAUGUAAGACAGAUGUGAAAUGCCCGGGCUCAACCUGGGAACUGCAUUUGUGACUGCAUGGCUAGAGUGUGUCAGAGGGGGGUAGAAUUCCACGUGUAGCAGUGAAAUGCGUAGAUAUGUGGAGGAAUACCGAUGGCGAAGGCAGCCCCCUGGGAUGCCACUGACGCUCAUGCACGAAAGCGUGGGGAGCAAACAGGAUUAGAUACCCCGGUAGUCC
Molecule: ribosomal RNA, 292 nt
Filed under: uncultured bacterium
Lineage: Bacteria
Description: partial 16S ribosomal RNA
Rfam family: Bacterial small subunit ribosomal RNA
Source: RNAcentral